UGUAUCAUCAAAUGAUUCAUAUCUAAAGUGUUUUGAGAAGAAGAAGAAGCUAUAUAUGGUGAUUAAAGAGAGAAGAUGAGUAAAGAGAGAAGAUGACGAUGUUUGUCCUUGAGAAAAAAAAAGAACUUGAGAUGGUAGAAAGAACAUGCAAUCAAAAUGUUUUGGUUGUUUGGUAUGGUGAGAAGGAGAGAAAAUGAACUUGUGUUUUCUCUUUGGUUUGGUGAGACGGUAGAACAUGAGAUCAAAAUGUUUGGUCGUUUGGUUUUAUAUAGAGAAUCAGAGUACACAAGUCACUAGUAAUCAGGUGAAUACACAAGUCUUUGAGUACACAAGAUUACAAAAUAGAAAAAUGAUACAUGAGGGUGACACAAAAAAACAGUCUACAAAACAACACAAUGACACAACAAAACAAGAGACAAAAAACUAGACUUGCUUCACAACAGAGUGACAGAACCAAAGUUUUCUUCAGCGUGACACAAAAAAACAAGACAUAAGAAAACAAGACACAAGUACAAAGUCUUCUUAUCCGUGACAAAGGCUUUGGCUUCAUUGUGUAUCUCUAUUAUAUAAAAGGGGUUAAGUUUGAGCUUCCUAAGCCCUGCCACAUGGGAAAAAAUAUUCAGAACCAACCAAUAUGCCAUGUCAUCCCGGACUGGGCUUGAAAUUGAAAAAAAAUUUGUCACCUUCGCGGCCCGUUAGACCCAUCUCGCAGCCCAAUCCCGAGCCUCUCUUCAUAUUGGUCGCAGCCCAUUACCCAUCUCGCAGCCCAAUCCACAGCUCUUGAUACGGUGCGGGUUAUAUCACCCUCCUCUCAGAAAUCUCAAAAUCACUAACCCUAAUCGCCGUCUCGAUCUCUUUGUCGAUUCUCUUCCUCCCCC
RNAcentral lists this long non-coding RNA (878 nucleotides) under Brassica napus (rape). Its description in RNAcentral is "long non-coding RNA (BNAP_LNC025865)". Lineage: Eukaryota; Viridiplantae; Streptophyta; Magnoliopsida; Brassicales; Brassicaceae. The record is from RNAcentral.